CCUACGGGUGGCAGCAGUCGAGAAUCAUUCACAAUGGGGGAAACCCUGAUGGUGCGACGCCGCGUGGGGGAAUGAAGGUCUUCGGAUUGUAAACCCCUGUCAUGUGGGAGCAAAUUAAAAAGAUAGUACCACAAGAGGAAGAGACGGCUAACUCUGUGCCAGCAGCCGCGGUAAUACAGAGGUCUCAGGCGUUGUUCGGAAUCACUGGGCGUAAGGCGUGCGGAGGCUGUUUCGUAAGUCGUGUGUGAAAGGCGCGGGCUCAACCCGCGGACUGCACAUGAUACUGCGAGACUAGAGUAAUGGAGGGGGAACCGGAAUUCUCGGUGUAGCAGUGAAAUGCGUAGAUAUCGAGAGGAACACUCGUGGCGAAGGCGGGUUCCUGGACAUUAACUGACGCUGAGGCACGAAGGCCAGGGGAGCGAAAGGGAUUAGAUACCCGAGUAGUC
This 446-nucleotide ribosomal RNA is filed under the name uncultured bacterium. RNAcentral describes it as "partial 16S ribosomal RNA". It matches the Rfam family "Bacterial small subunit ribosomal RNA", at positions 338 to 795 of the family's 1533-position model. The record is from RNAcentral.